CGCCUCUUGAAAAACAUAAGAGGUCCAGCCUGCCCAGUGACAUUGUUUAACGGCCGCGGUAUCCUAACCGUGCGAAGGUAGCGUAAUCACUUGUCCUUUAAAUGAGGACUAGUAUGAAUGGCAUCACGAGGAUUAUUCUGUCUCCUUUCUCUAAUCAGUAAAACUAAUCUUCCCGUGAAGAAGCGGGGAUACACUUAUAAGACGAGAAGACCCUAUGGAGCUUUAAACAAAACAACAUUUGUUAACUUCCCCCCUCAAAUUUCAGAAAAACAAUUUUUAUCUUAACACUGUGUUUGUUAGUUUUAGGUUGGGGUGACCGCGGAGAAAAAAGUAACCUCCACAUUGAAAGGGGCUUUCCCCUAAACAAAAAGUCACAACUUUAUGUAUCAACAAAUUGACAUCAAUUGACCCAAUAUUUUGAUCAACGAAACAAGUUACCCUAGGGAUAACAGCGCAAUCCACUUCGAGAGCCCCUAUCGACAGGUGGGUUUACGACCUCGAUGUUGGAUCAGGGUAUCCUAGUGGUGCAGCCGCUACUAAAGGUUCGUUUGUUCAACGAUUAAAACCCU
This 569-nucleotide ribosomal RNA is filed under the name Gastrotheca monticola (mountain marsupial frog). RNAcentral describes it as "partial large subunit ribosomal RNA". It matches the Rfam family "Bacterial large subunit ribosomal RNA", at positions 1816 to 2597 of the family's 2925-position model. Lineage: Eukaryota; Metazoa; Chordata; Amphibia; Anura; Hemiphractidae. The record is from RNAcentral.